UUCUAUUAACAUCAGUUAAAAGGUCCCAGAUUUUAUGAAAGUGUAUUUUUCCCCUUGUUCUAUAAGGAGGCCUACUGUUUUGUAUUUAAAUUUAGCUGUUGCAAGAUUCUGUUCUUGUAUAAAUCAAAUAGGUGAGACUGCAGAAGCUUCAGUCCCAUAUAUAAACGUUCAUGUCAUUUUAGAGGAUUAUAUGGUUGUCUCCAGAGAAAUUAACUUACAUUAUCAAAAAAUUCUUUGUCUAAUAUAUUGGAGUCUUUAAAAGUGUUGAAGAAUAAAAUAUUAAUUAGAACAACUUCAAAUGCUAAGGUGAUGUUUUACCGGGACUUAAUUAAAUACAACUUUUUCCUUUCGAAAAAGACUGUUCACAUUUGCUUCCAGGUGUAAUUAUUGCUUUCAUUCCUUACCCCCCUCAAGCAAAUGUGAAAAGUAUACUGACCUAAGAUUCUCAUUAGUUUUAGUUCUUAAAACGAAUAGUAAAUGAUUUCACAGCGUAAAAUUUGAUGUUAUUUCUGGAAGCUGGAUGAUAUGGAAGAGUUCAUGUGCCUGGACACACAGUUCCCUGUAAUCCUGCCAUCUAGGGAGAUAAACUCUGUUAACAUUUUGAUGUUGUGUUUUUGCUUAUUUUUCUAUGCAUAGUUAUGCAUUUAUAUUCUCAAAAAUGAAAUCAUAAUGUACAUUGCUUUGUAGUCUGCUCUAUAUAUUGUCAAUAUGUUCCCAUAUUAAAUAUUUUGCUUUUUAGACAGCUGUAGGAUAUUUUAUUUCAUGGGUAUACCAUAACUUUAAGAUUUAUUUCCUAUUCAGCAAUUUGAUUAUGUAUUAUAAUGUAAUCUGUAAAUAGUGAUAUGAUUAACAUCUUAAUCACAUCCAUAGAAAAUGACUUAUUUCCAGAAGAUACCGCUCUAAAAAUGAAAUUGUUAGGUGAAAGUGUUUUUGAGAAUUUUUAUAUAUAUUACUCACUGCAGAGAUCAUGUUCAUUUACAUUCCCAUUAGCAAUAUAUCCAAUGCUCAGAAUUGAAAAUUACUACUUAAAAUCUUUGCAAAUUGAAUAAUUACAGAAAAGGGCUACAUUUAAAAUUUGUAUUUGUUUUUCUUACUUAGUGAAGGUUGUGUUUUUUUUCAUAUUCAUUGGCCAUGCUAUAUUCAUUCUUUUGAGAAUUGCUCAUUCAUAUUUUUUCUGUUGCUUGCUUGGAGAAUUUGCUCUUUUUUUGGCAUAUAAGUUCUUAAGAAUGUCCGUCCUUUGUCAUAUAUUGUAACUUUUUUUAGCCUUAUUUGUCAUUUAACAUAGUUUGUGGUAUUUCAGUAUAGAAGUUGUUUUCUUUAGGAGUCUACCUUUGUGUAUGUGCUUGAAAGUAUUUUUGUAAUCCAAGAAUGGAUAAAUGUCCUUAUUUUCUUCUAGUAUUUUCUUAUUUCACUUUUACACCUAUCUUUAAAAGGAAUUUAAAUUUUGUUUAUAUACAUUAACUAAAUCAGUACAAGUUUGGGGUGAAAAGGAAAUUUUUAAUCCAUCUCAAAUGUAUUUGGUUAUAUUAUAUAAGGUAGGGAUUUGAUUUUAUUUCGAAGAAUUUACCAAUUGGUUCAGUAUGUGAAACCACCAUUUCCCCUCUGAUUAGUAAUGCUAUUUUUAUAGAAUAUUAAAUUCUUAUGUGUCUUUUGUGUCUUAGGCCAAUUUCUGGGCCUUCUGGGUUUUUUCUACACUGUCAAUAAUUAUCGCUUUAAUUGGUGUUAAUAUUUGGUAGUACACAGGUUCUCCCUUGUUCUUUUAAAUUUUGUGAAAUAUAACUUACAAAUAAGUACUUAAAACAGAGCUUAAUGGGUAAAGCAACAGCUGUGUAAUCACAAACUAGAUGCAGAGGAGGUCUUGCCAGCACUCCAAAAUCUCUGUGUGUCCCCUCUUGACACUCACUGUUUCCCCCAGAGCUAACUAUCCUGACGUAUGGUAAUUCUCCCUCUGUCCUUUUAAGAAUUAUUUUACCAGUUAUGUGUAUAACAAUAUGGUUUACAUUUUGCUCACUUUUGACUUAUAUAAAAAUAGAAUAAUACUAUA
This 2044-nucleotide long non-coding RNA is filed under the name Homo sapiens (human). Its description in RNAcentral is "HSALNT0220764". The record is from RNAcentral. Lineage: Eukaryota; Metazoa; Chordata; Mammalia; Primates; Hominidae.